GUGUCAACCAUUAUUGGCAUGUUUAAUAUAUUACAAAUCAGUGUGCGAACUAGUUUCCAAAUGUUGUUACCCAGUCGGGCUGCCUAUGCCUGAAAUUUACUAGCCCACAAAAUAAUUCACUAGCCCGAAAUUUGAAUGUAGAAACUGAGCAAAAGAAUUGCA
Long non-coding RNA from Haliotis rubra (blacklip abalone), 162 nucleotides. RefSeq lists it as uncharacterized. The transcript is spliced from 3 exons. NCBI's taxonomy places the organism in Eukaryota, Metazoa, Mollusca, Gastropoda, Lepetellida, Haliotidae. The record is from RefSeq and is a predicted model, not a curated record.